CCGAUGAAUGUGUGAUCAUUAAUUGACCAGUGUGAACUGUCCAACAAAUCUUUAGGGGUCGGCACAGGUAGAAGUGGUCGUUAAAUGGUGGAUGUUCCUUCCAGCAGCCCCGCCAUUGUGUGUUACUAUGCAUAUUGAACGUAAAAGACUGAGAGAACGUAUCUUCAUGAUCACCAUGAAAGGAAAAACUUUUAAAGAAAGAGACAAACAACUUUUGACGGUGGAUCUCUUGGCUCACGUAUCGAUGAAGAACGCAGCCAGCUGCGAUAUGUAGUGUGAAUUGCAGAAUUCAGUGAAUCAUUGAAUCUUUGAACGCAAAUGGCGCUCUUGGGUUCUCCCAGGAGCAUGUCUGUCUGAGUGUCGGAUUUUAUCGAACGCACACUCACGAGUGAGUGUGCGGUAUUGAGGUGUCACGGCGUGAAGAAUCAGUGUAUUAAUGAUCGCCGUGUCCCUUGAAGAGCAGCAGCAGCAGCAGCAUUCUCUAUUGAAACUUGAGUGCGAAGGCUAAAGAUAUUGCUAUUUUCCUUCGCUGCAGGUUGGUUUAGGGUUGUUGGGUCGCUGAAAAAGAGAAAGAAACAAAUGCAAUCAAUCUUGACCUCAGAUCAGGCAAGGCUACCCGCUGAAUUUAA
Molecule: ribosomal RNA, 629 nt
Filed under: Porites porites
Lineage: Eukaryota; Metazoa; Cnidaria; Anthozoa; Scleractinia; Poritidae
Description: partial 18S ribosomal RNA
Rfam family: 5.8S ribosomal RNA (bases 210-363)
Source: RNAcentral